UACGGGGGGGGCAAGCGUUGUUCGGAAUUACUGGGCGUAAAGGGCUCGUAGGUGGCCAACUAAGUCAGACGUGAAAUCCCUCGGCUUAACCGGGGAACUGCGUCUGAUACUGGAUGGCUUGAGUUCGGGAGAGGGAUGCGGAAUUCCAGGUGUAGCGGUGAAAUGCGUAGAUAUCUGGAGGAACACCGGUGGCGAAGGCGGUUCUCUGGGCAUUACCUGACGCUGAGGAGCGAAAGCAUGGGGAGCGAACAGG
RNAcentral lists this ribosomal RNA (253 nucleotides) under uncultured bacterium. Its description in RNAcentral is "partial 16S ribosomal RNA". It matches the Rfam family "Bacterial small subunit ribosomal RNA", at positions 524 to 776 of the family's 1533-position model. The record is from RNAcentral.